This 73-nucleotide transfer RNA is filed under the name Oltmannsiellopsis viridis. Its description in RNAcentral is "tRNA-Gly". It matches the Rfam family "tRNA". Rfam says of the family: Transfer RNA (tRNA) molecules are approximately 80 nucleotides in length. Their secondary structure includes four short double-helical elements and three loops (D, anti-codon, and T loops). Lineage: Eukaryota; Viridiplantae; Chlorophyta; Ulvophyceae; Oltmannsiellopsidales; Oltmannsiellopsidaceae. The record is from RNAcentral.
GCGAAAGUAGCUUAAUCGGUAAAGCGUUGCAUUGCCAUUGCGAAGAUUGAGGAUUCGAGUUCCUUCUUUCGCU